Molecule: long non-coding RNA, 582 nt
Organism: Odocoileus virginianus texanus
Lineage: Eukaryota; Metazoa; Chordata; Mammalia; Artiodactyla; Cervidae
Source: RefSeq, a predicted model, not a curated record
UAGGUCACUUGCCUGAGGUCACAAAGCUGCGAGGUAAAGAGCUGAGCCUAGAACCCAGGCCUUCUCUCCCCAGUCCAAAGCUCUUUCUCUCUCCUCAUUUUCUUACCAAGGAAAGAACAGGGCUGAACACUGCAAAGUUCUGCAGGAGAGGAUGAGAGAGCAGAGACCAACCGCAUCCUCAGUGCACUUAGCACUUCAAGGCAUCCACCAAGCUGCCAGCAUCUAUCCCAGGGCCUGGUGCAGAGUGGGCAAGAAGAAGGUGGCAGAAGAACAAAGAGAAGGGCCUCAUCCCAGGGUUCCUGAUACACGACGGUUCCCUGUUCUGCGGCCUCAUUCGUGCAAGGCAGCUGAUAACUCGGUGGGAAUUGUGACAGUGAAAUAAAAGAGCCUGCAUGAAAUAGUGCCUGGCACGCAGCAGGGACCCAGUACCUACUACUUCCCUUCUCCUCCAGCCUGGGAGGAGCUGACGGCCUCCGUCUCAGUGAGAAGGUGGAAGAAAAUGAAGACGGCAGCAGAGAAAGAUUAUCAAGUUCUUACACCCAACUUUUGCAAAGUUAAAUAUAUCACCCAUUUCAAUCUUCA